GGUGUUAGGACCGGGCCAGGAAAUAGACAAACUCAAGUUAGCACAAAGUAGGCGGUAUGACCGACCAUAUAAUAGAUAGGCGGUAGAUACCAGCCAUAUAAUAAUUAGGCGGUAAAACCGACCAUAUAAAGACAGAUAGCAAAGCAAAUAAAAGACACAGAAGAUUUACGUGGUUCGGUCAAAUUGACCUACGUCCACGGGCGAGGGAGGAGCAAUAUUUCUACUAUGAAGAAGAAAUACAAAAGCCGUAGGAAAGUGGUUCCUAGGCCAAUAGGCACUUACAAAAGAGUUUAGAAAAUAUUCCUAAACUCAAAAUAAGAGAGCCUAAAAUAUUUGACUGAAUGGGCUAAAUGACUUAAGAAGCUAAUAGCCCAUAUAACUCUCUUAAGUGGUGCACUUAAACUUCUCAAAGGCCUUCUCUAUUUAUAGGAAACAAUGGAGGCUAUUCCCUCAGCUUCUGGCGAUGUGGGAUUACAAAAUUCUGCCACAGUCAAGAAUCAAGAAUUGCGGCUGCAGCAAGAAGUCAAGAGUUGCUGCUGUGGCUUGACUUUAACAAAU
RNAcentral lists this long non-coding RNA (558 nucleotides) under Coffea arabica (coffee). RNAcentral describes it as "long non-coding RNA (CARA_LNC006878)". Lineage: Eukaryota; Viridiplantae; Streptophyta; Magnoliopsida; Gentianales; Rubiaceae. The record is from RNAcentral.